UUUAUAAACCAUUCAUUAUGGGUCAGUAUUAAAAUGUCAUCCUUGCCACACUUUGCACAACAAUACUAAUUCAAUACUCAUGCCAUCCUUAUUACAUUUUGCACAAGAAUGGGACGGCACAAAAUUACAGCUCUGAAUAAAAACAUCAAACAAAGCACAGCUCUUUGAAUCUGCCAAACUACGAAACCCAGCAACAUAAAAUACAUUUUCGUCGGUUUGUAUGAAAACAAAGGGGAGAGGGGUUGGAGGGAAAACAAGAUUAAGUUGUCAAAAUAUCAGGACGUGUGAGGGAAUGACAUCCAAGCACCUUGCCACCAGCAUCUGGGAAAUUCUCAUAUCCAGGUAAGGGGGCUACCUUCCCAUCAAAAUCUACCUGCACAGGAUACAUGAGAAGAUGGCCCUGCAAUAAGGUGAAAUUUGGAUUUGUAUAUCUCUCCCAGUUGGCUUCAGCAAUAUUUUUUAUUUUCUUCACACAUUCCAAACUCUCAGGCUCCAUAAACAAUCCCUGGACCUCACCAAGAUGCUCAGCCCACAGUGACAUUCUAUAUCCAUAUAUCUGCCCACGUGGAUGUUUCUUCUUUGCAGCCCAUGUGUAAUGGGGUUGAUAUGAACCCAUAGCUAUCUCAGUGUCUUUUGAACCCGCCAUGGAUCUCUGGUUAAUAUUGGCAGAUCCAAUAAUGACAUACUCAUCAUCCACAAUCAUUCCCUUCGAAUGGACAUAAACCAUGAACCGCUGAGAUUUGAAAGCAUCAGAGACCGCUUCACCAUUGAUACUGGACAUCAGUUGUGGAUUUUCUUCCCGAUUACCAAGGCAAAAGAAAUUGAGGUAAUC
This 832-nucleotide unclassified non-coding RNA is filed under the name Hevea brasiliensis (rubber tree). The record is from RNAcentral. Lineage: Eukaryota; Viridiplantae; Streptophyta; Magnoliopsida; Malpighiales; Euphorbiaceae.